GGGAUGACGUCAAAUCAUCAUGCCCCUUAUGUCUUGGGCUGCACGCAUGCUACAAUGGCUGGUACAAACGGCUGCGAUACCGCAAGGUGGAGCGAAUCCGAUAAAGCCAGUCUCAGUUCGGAUUGGGGUCUGCAACUCGACCCCAUGAAGUCGGAGUUGCUAGUAAUCGUAGAUCAGCAACGCUACGGUGAAUACGUUCCCGGGGGCUUGUACACACCGCCCGUCACGUCACGAAAG
RNAcentral lists this ribosomal RNA (237 nucleotides) under uncultured Actinomycetes bacterium. Its description in RNAcentral is "uncultured actinobacterium partial 16S ribosomal RNA". It matches the Rfam family "Bacterial small subunit ribosomal RNA", at positions 1176 to 1410 of the family's 1533-position model. The record is from RNAcentral. Lineage: Bacteria; Bacillati; Actinomycetota; Actinomycetes.